GUUUGCACUCAUCGGGGAAGGGUGAGAACCUUCGACUAAGGUUCGAUUCGAGCGAAAGCGAGAGAACGUUGCCACAGGCAACGGCCCGAAGGGUGAGGAGCGAAGCGACGAAUAAUCCUUCCCCCACC
This 128-nucleotide small RNA is filed under the name Escherichia coli. RNAcentral describes it as "partial RtT sRNA". It matches the Rfam family "RtT RNA". Rfam says of the family: This family represents a bacterial cis-regulatory element known as RtT RNA. The exact function of RtT is unknown although it is thought that it may be involved in changing the cellular response in relation to amino acid starvation. The record is from RNAcentral. Lineage: Bacteria; Pseudomonadati; Pseudomonadota; Gammaproteobacteria; Enterobacterales; Enterobacteriaceae.